AUUGAACGCUGGCGGCAUGCCUUACACAUGCAAGUCGAACGGCAGCACGGGUGCUUGCACCUGGUGGCGAGUGGCGAACGGGUGAGUAAUACAUCGGAACAUGUCCUGUAGUGGGGGAUAGCCCGGCGAAAGCCGGAUUAAUACCGCAUACGAUCUACGGAUGAAAGCGGGGGACCUUCGGGCCUCGCGCUAUAGGGUUGGCCGAUGGCUGAUUAGCUAGUUGGUGGUGUAAAGGCCUACCAAGGCGACGAUCAGUAGCUGGUCUGAGAGGACGACCAGCCACACUGGGACUGAGACACGGCCCAGACUCCUACGGGAGGCAGCAGUGGGGAAUUUUGGACAAAGGGCGAAAGCCUGAUCCAGCAAUGCCGCGUGUGUGAAGAAGGCCUUCGGGUUGUAAAGCACUUUUGUCCGGAAAGAAAUCCUUGGCCCUAAUACGGUCGGGGGAUGACGGUACCGGAAGAAUAAGCACCGGCUAACUACGUG
Molecule: ribosomal RNA, 486 nt
Filed under: uncultured bacterium
Lineage: Bacteria
Description: partial 16S ribosomal RNA
Rfam family: Bacterial small subunit ribosomal RNA
Source: RNAcentral